GAAACCGGUUUUAACCCUAUAACAGAAGUUCGCAAAGAGCCACAUUGUGAAUCAUAUUCAGUAAGCAUUUGCAACAAAAAUAUUGAUAGAAUCUGUGCAAGCAAUGGCCAGACUUAUUACAAUAUAUGUUGGUUCUGCAGUGCAAAGCGGAUCUAUAAUUAGCACCUCUCCACUCUCACCAGUGAUUUUUGAAUGCAUCCGCUGAGAUCAACGUGUCCCAAACCUUUGGCUAAGGGCAGAUCUAUUGAGAAAUAGGAGAAAUAUUUCUUAUGAGAUGCUUUGUGACCUCCACGAAGGACAGAAAAUAUCGCUCUCCUAUCUGCCCUUGGGCAGCCCAUUUAUCCCUUGCAUCUCCACACCAACAAACCAACCAAGGAAACUCUUGAGCUGCAUGUACUUGACUGAGAAGAAAGGGUGAAUAAAACACACAGUGUCUGGAGCUGUUGUCCACACACUACACUGCGCUCCACCUCCAGUUUUCUUCCACAGACUUGCUACAAUGCCUUUCUUCUCACCAUGGAUCACAGC
Ochotona curzoniae (black-lipped pika) is the source of this 528-nucleotide long non-coding RNA. RefSeq lists it as uncharacterized. Lineage: Eukaryota; Metazoa; Chordata; Mammalia; Lagomorpha; Ochotonidae. The transcript has 4 exons. The record is from RefSeq and is a predicted model, not a curated record.